AGCAGUCGCCACGGUAAAACAGAGGGUGCGAGCGUUAAUCGGAUUUACUGGGCGUAAAGCGUGCGUAGGCGGCUAAUUGAGUCGGAUGUGAAAUCCCCGAGCUUAACUUGGGAAUUGCAUUCGAUACUGGUUAGCUAGAGUGUGGGAGAGGAUGGUAGAAUUCCAGGUGUAGCGGUGAAAUGCGUAGAGAUCUGGAGGAAUACCAAUGGCGAAGGCAGCCAUCUGGCCUAACACUGACGCUGAGGUACGAAAGCAUGGGGAGCAAACAGGAUUAGAUACCCGCGUAGUCCCUGUCUCUUAUAC
RNAcentral lists this ribosomal RNA (303 nucleotides) under uncultured bacterium. Its description in RNAcentral is "partial 16S ribosomal RNA". It matches the Rfam family "Bacterial small subunit ribosomal RNA", at positions 507 to 807 of the family's 1533-position model. The record is from RNAcentral.